GAAGAAGUGGACAUGGUGGAAUCGGAGGGGCGGGAGGCUGAAGGAGAGGAGGAGCAGGAGGCUGAAGGAGAGAAGGAGCAGGAGGAGGAAGGAGAUAAGAGAGUGGAGGGGUCGGAGAAGACGGCGGUGGAGAAGGAGAUGGAGAAGGGAACAGAGAGGGAGGAGAUAGAGAAGACGGAGGUGGAGAAGAAAGAGACAGAAAGGAAGGAGACUGGGAAGACGGCGGUGGAGAAGAAAGAGAUAGAAAGGAAGGAGAGAGGGAAGAAGGUGGUGGAGGAGAAAGAGACAGAAAGGAAGGAGAGAGGGAAGAAGGUGGUGGAGGAGAAAGAGACAGAAAGGAAGGAGAGAGGGAAGAAGGUGGUGGAGGAGAAAGAGACAGAAAGGAAGGAGAGAGGGAAGAAGGUGGUGGAGGAGAAAGAGACAGAAAGGAAGGAGAGAGGGAAGAAGGUGGUGGAGGAGAAAGAGACAGAAAGGAAGGAGAGAGGGAAGAAGGUGGUGGAGGAGAAAGAGACAGAAAGGAAGGAGACAGGGAAGAAGGUGGUGGAGGAGAAAGAGACAGAAAGGAAGGAGACAGGGAAGAAGGUGGUGGAGGAGAAAGAGACAGAAAGGAAGGAGACAGGGAAGAAGGUGGUGGAGGAGAAAGAGACAGAAAGGAAGGAGACAGGGAAGAAGGUGGUGGAGGAGAAAGAGACAGAAAGGAAGGAGACAGGGAAGAAGGUGGUGGAGAAGAAAGAGACAGAAAGGAAGGAGACAG
Molecule: long non-coding RNA, 754 nt
Filed under: Salmo salar (Atlantic salmon)
Lineage: Eukaryota; Metazoa; Chordata; Actinopteri; Salmoniformes; Salmonidae
Description: lncRNA (ENSSSAG00000102244.1)
Source: RNAcentral